This 703-nucleotide ribosomal RNA is filed under the name Nocardia sp. RNAcentral's name for it is "bacterial SSU rRNA". It matches the Rfam family "Bacterial small subunit ribosomal RNA", at positions 87 to 804 of the family's 1533-position model. Lineage: Bacteria; Bacillati; Actinomycetota; Actinomycetes; Mycobacteriales; Nocardiaceae. The record is from RNAcentral.
GUACACGAGCGGCGAACGGGUGAGUAACACGUGGGUGAUCUGCCUCGUACUUCGGGAUAAGCCUGGGAAACUGGGUCUAAUACCGGAUAUGACCUCAGGAUGCAUGUCUUGUGGUGGAAAGAUUUAUCGGUGCGAGAUGGGCCCGCGGCCUAUCAGCUUGUUGGUGGGGUAAUGGCCUACCAAGGCGACGACGGGUAGCCGACCUGAGAGGGUGACCGGCCACACUGGGACUGAGACACGGCCCAGACUCCUACGGGAGGCAGCAGUGGGGAAUAUUGCACAAUGGGCGGAAGCCUGAUGCAGCGACGCCGCGUGAGGGAUGACGGCCUUCGGGUUGUAAACCUCUUUCGACAGGGACGAAGGGAAACUGACGGUACCUGUAGAAGAAGCACCGGCCAACUACGUGCCAGCAGCCGCGGUAAUACGUAGGGUGCGAGCGUUGUCCGGAAUUACUGGGCGUAAAGAGCUUGUAGGCGGUUCGUCGCGUCGAUCGUGAAAACUUGCAGCUCAACUGCGAGCUUGCGGUCGAUACGGGCGGACUAGAGUACUUCAGGGGAGACUGGAAUUCCUGGUGUAGCGGUGAAAUGCGCAGAUAUCAGGAGGAACACCGGUGGCGAAGGCGGGUCUCUGGGAAGUAACUGACGCUGAGAAGCGAAAGCGUGGGUAGCGAACAGGAUUAGAUACCCUGGUAGUCCACGCCGUA